RNAcentral lists this ribosomal RNA (274 nucleotides) under uncultured bacterium. RNAcentral's name for it is "partial 16S ribosomal RNA". It matches the Rfam family "Bacterial small subunit ribosomal RNA", at positions 524 to 796 of the family's 1533-position model. The record is from RNAcentral.
GACGUAGGGUCCAAGCGUUGUCCGGAUUUACUGGGCGUAAAGAGCACGUAGGCGGCUUGUUAAGUGUGAAGUGAAAUCUCCAGAGCUCAACUCGGAAACCGCUUCGCAUACUGGCAAGCUAGAGGAAUGCAGAGGUAAGUGGAAUUCCUGGUGUAGCGGUGAAAUGCAUAGAUAUCAGGAGGAACACCCAUGGCGAAGGCAGCUUACUGGGCAUUAUCUGACGCUGAGGUGCGAAAGCGUGGGGAGCAAACAGGAUUAGAAACCCUCGUAGUCC